Molecule: ribosomal RNA, 214 nt
Filed under: Conticribra weissflogii
Lineage: Eukaryota; Bacillariophyta; Thalassiosirophyceae; Thalassiosirales; Thalassiosiraceae
Description: partial Bacterial large subunit ribosomal RNA
Rfam family: Bacterial large subunit ribosomal RNA
Source: RNAcentral
GGAUUAGACCCGAAACCGAGUGAUCUAGCCAUGAGCAGGUUGAAGGUGCAGUAACAUGCACUGAAGGCCGAACCCGCAUCUGUUGCAAUAGAUUGGGAUGACUUGUGGCUAGGGGUGAAAGGCCAAUCAAACUCGGAAAUAGCUGGUUCUCCGCGAAAUCUAUUUAGGUAGAGCGUCGACCGAAUACCCUCGGGGGUAGAGCACUGGAUGGGCU